GACGAACGCUGGCGGCGUGCUUAACACAUGCAAGUCGAACGGAAAGGCCCUGCUUUUGUGGGGUGCUCGAGUGGCGAACGGGUGAGUAACACGUGAGUAACCUGCCCUUGACUUUGGGAUAACUUCAGGAAACUGGGGCUAAUACCGGAUAGGAGCUCCCGCUGCAUGGUGGGGGUUGGAAAGUUUCGGAGGUUGGGGAUGGACUCGCGGCUUAUCAGCUUGUUGGUGGGGUAGUGGCUUACCAAGGCUUUGACGGGUAGCCGGCCUGAGAGGGUGGCCGGCCACAUUGGGACUGAGAUACGGCCCAGUCUCCAAGGGGAGACAGCAGUGGCGAAUAUUGCACAGUGGGCGGAAGCCUGAUGCGGCAACGCCGCGUGCGGGAUGACGGCCUUCGGGUUGUAAACAGCAUUCGCCUAUGACGAAGCGUGAGUGACGGUAAUGGGUAAAGAAGCACCGGCUAACUACGUG
RNAcentral lists this ribosomal RNA (468 nucleotides) under uncultured bacterium. RNAcentral's name for it is "partial 16S ribosomal RNA". It matches the Rfam family "Bacterial small subunit ribosomal RNA", at positions 28 to 507 of the family's 1533-position model. The record is from RNAcentral.